This 403-nucleotide ribosomal RNA is filed under the name uncultured bacterium. RNAcentral describes it as "bacterial SSU rRNA". It matches the Rfam family "Bacterial small subunit ribosomal RNA", at positions 355 to 774 of the family's 1533-position model. The record is from RNAcentral.
UGAGGAAUAUUGCACAAUGGGGGAAACCCGUGAUGCAGCAACGCCGCGUGGAGGAUGACGCAUUUCGGUGUGUAAACUCCUUUUAUGAGUCAAGAAAAUGACGGUAGCUCAUGAAUAAGCACCGGCUAACUCCGUGCCAGCAGCCGCGGUAAUACGGAGGGUGCAAGCGUUACUCGGAAUCACUGGGCGUAAAGGACGCGUAGGCGGGUUGUCAAGUCAGAUGUGAAAUCCUACAGCUUAACUGUAGAACUGCAUUUGAAACUGGCAACCUAGAGUAUGGGAGGGGGAGAUGGAAUUAGUGGUGUAGGGGUAAAAUCCGUAGAUAUCACUAGGAAUACCGAAAGCGAAGGCGAUCUCCUGGAACAUAACUGACGCUAAGGCGUGAAAGCGUGGGGAGCAAACG